GCCGCCGUGGCGGAAUAGGCAGACGCAGCGGACUUAAAAUCCGCCGAUCAUUGCGAUCGUACCGGUUCAAGUCCGGUCGGCGGCA
Molecule: transfer RNA, 85 nt
Filed under: Ruminococcus sp. CAG:330
Lineage: Bacteria; Bacillati; Bacillota; Clostridia; Eubacteriales; Oscillospiraceae
Rfam family: tRNA
About the family: Transfer RNA (tRNA) molecules are approximately 80 nucleotides in length. Their secondary structure includes four short double-helical elements and three loops (D, anti-codon, and T loops). Further hydrogen bonds mediate the characteristic L-shaped molecular structure. tRNAs have two regions of fundamental functional importance: the anti-codon, which is responsible for specific mRNA codon recognition, and the 3' end, to which the tRNAs corresponding amino acid is attached (by aminoacyl-tRNA synthetases). tRNAs cope with the degeneracy of the genetic code in two manners: having more than one tRNA (with a specific anti-codon) for a particular amino acid; and 'wobble' base-pairing, i.e. permitting non-standard base-pairing at the 3rd anti-codon position.
Source: Rfam by way of RNAcentral